RNAcentral lists this ribosomal RNA (183 nucleotides) under Botryosphaeria dothidea. Its description in RNAcentral is "partial 18S ribosomal RNA". Lineage: Eukaryota; Fungi; Ascomycota; Dothideomycetes; Botryosphaeriales; Botryosphaeriaceae. The record is from RNAcentral.
GGGCCUCGUAAGCUGAUCAGGCUCCGGCCGAUCCUCCCACCCUUUGUGUACCUACCUCUGUUGCUUUGGCGGGCCGCGGUCCUCCGCGGCCGCCCCCCUCCCCGGGGGGUGGCCAGCGCCCGCCAGAGGACCAUCAAACUCCAGUCAGUAAACGAUGCAGUCUGAAAAACAUUUAAUAAACUA